UUCUAUUAAUAGUUAUUGUUAUUAAUCUCUUACUGUGCCUAAUUUAUAAAUUAAACUUUAUCGUAGGUAUGCUUAUAGGGGAUAAAACAUAUAUAGGGUUCAGUAUUAUCUGUCAUCUUAGGCAUCCACUGGGGGUCUUGGAAUGUAUUCUGCAUGGAAAAAAUAUUUUCAAUCGAGACUUUCAGCAGAGAAGUUAGCCGGUAUAUCCAAACAAAAUGAGAUGUAUGCACAGUGUUUUAUUGCAUUAUAUGGUAAUCCCUCCACAAAAAUAAAAAGAUCUGAAAUAGAAGAAAUCACAGAUUUUGAAAGUUUUCUUUAAUUAUAUGCCUUAUGU
Molecule: long non-coding RNA, 334 nt
Filed under: Mustela putorius furo (domestic ferret)
Lineage: Eukaryota; Metazoa; Chordata; Mammalia; Carnivora; Mustelidae
Description: lncRNA (ENSMPUG00000024948.1)
Source: RNAcentral